This is an RNA transcript of Bombus terrestris (buff-tailed bumblebee), 4104 nucleotides long. RefSeq lists it as uncharacterized. The transcript has 15 exons. The record is from RefSeq and is a predicted model, not a curated record. Lineage: Eukaryota; Metazoa; Arthropoda; Insecta; Hymenoptera; Apidae.
UGAUUUAUGUUUUCGAGUAGUUGAUGCAUCAUUUCGCGGCAAUCUUUCAAAACCGACAAGUGAAAAGUUGUAUUUAAAAUUUUGUGAAUAAGUGAAAAGUAUUGUGUUAAAAUCUCUUAUCUUUUUGAGGAUAUGUCAUAGGAAAAGAUAGUCUGUGAUUUUGGAAGACAAAAUUUGUUUCUUCGGACUGUUGCAUAAAAUCGAGCACGCGUCUCCCUCUACCGAAGGAGAGCCAGCGACUCGAUAUUGUUCGUCGAAGUUAUUGCGAUCGUGUUCGAGUUCCAUCGAAAGGCUCAAUCUCACUGGAACGUGUCAUACGAGCGGCGAACUCGAAUUUCAACCAGCAGUCACCAGGUAUCGAAACUGAACAUCGGAAUUGAACAUAGAAUUUGUACAUUUCAACAAAAUGGCAAGCGAGACUUCUUUUACCGCUUUAUUGGACGAUUCGUUUUCGGAUAAUGACAAAAGUACCGAGGAUUAUUCGUCCAAUUUAAAAGACGCUUUGGAGAACCUGACCGAGAGGUACGACACGGAGUUGCUGCAACAGGCUCUGCAACGAUCCUUAUCCUCGUGUUCGGAUAAUUUGCUCGCUGAGAAAAUUUUCAACGAAAUACUUCCUUUCGCCUAUUAUCUUUUAUCCGAGGCUCUGAAGAAAAUUGGCGAAACGAUAAAUACAAACGCGGAUGGACACACGGUGGAAGAUGCGAAACGACAAUUGGUCGUGUGUCGCGAAUUACUAAGUGUGUGGGAGAAAUCUAUGGAACGCGUUUCGAAACUUUGUAAAACAUCUGCCAUUGGUUUUAAAUGCAUAGUGGAGAACGUGCCUCUUACGAUUAAACUAAUAUUCGAACAUUGUAGAGCAAGUAAAAAAUUGUACGCUACUUUAUUCGAGGACGUAUCGGAGGAAUUAACGAAUCUAUUUCGCAAGGCGAAAACGAUCUUGAAUCUAUUCCUGGCCACUUUAGAGAACGUAAUAGUCUUCGACACGGAUACGGAAUCGGAAACGGAACUAUUGGUAAAAGUAAUCGAUUCGAUCGGAUCGUUCGUUACCAUCUCGCGCGAACUGGAUUUGAAAACGUUCGUGGAAACGUCGAAAAUAUUCGGUAAAUUGGCGAUUACGAAUCAACAUCAUAUAAAACGAAUAAACGCUAUGAACGUCACUUUGCAGCUUGCCCAAUUCACAAAAGAUGUGUCCUCGAUGCUCGUAUUUUGUCAGGACUCGAGUAAUCGGGUAGAAGAAAGAACGAUAAAAGUUAUUGGACAUUCGUUAAAAAUUUUGGACAGACUGUUUGCAGCCUAUUGUUCGCACAUAAACAACGAGAUUCUUCCGUUUGUGAUCGAACUUUUGUUAAAGAUGCACAGGUGUUCUCCACUGUGUUUACAAAACUCGCAAAUUGAUAGAAAACUGAUCGAUCUAAUAAACGUUCAAAUCUCGAAGGGAUCCGAACCAUUUUUGAAUACCGUUUUCAAAUCAUCCGAUUUUAAACAGGCGUUCUUCGAUUAUAGAAAUCAGGCAAAUAUCGAUAAUUUAGGCUACCAUCUGUUAACGGUUAAUAUCAUGAAAAAAUUAAUUUACAUGCCAUACGAGCAACAUCGCAAAUGGACAUUAGGCGCUGAAUCGAUCGUCGAUGUCGCGUUAAGCAACAUUAAUCACCUGCAGGAGGAGAUUUGCGUGGGUCAGGUGAAAUUACCAGGUGUACACGAUAUUGGAGAAAGAUCGAGAUCCGCCUCGAUAUACGAAGCCACGAUAGUACCAAUUUGUGGACUGAUCAGUCAAAUUCAUGCAGACGGAUUUCACGCUGUAGAGUUGAUUUUAUUGAAGCAUUUAUUCAGCGAUCAACUUUGGAGUUCUUUGCUUAGUUCGGAUAUCUGGUGCUUCAUCGGCCGUAUUGGUUCUCCAGAACUUUGCGCUAGUCACGUGAAAUACCUCUUGAACGUUUAUGCUGUUUUAAUGAGACGUAGCAACAGUCUCGAGAUCGUUAUGUUGGAGAACUUGAUUGGAAGAUUGUACAAUUUGCUCCCGGAGGAAACGAAGCACACCGUUAUAACGGAGCUGGAUGAUCUGAAAAAUCCAUGCUGGCUGGCCGUCGCACGAUUUUUGCCCCCGAAAACAAAAGCGUUCUUGCAGGAUCGAUUGGCAUGCGUAUUAAACGAGAUACCGAGCUCGUUCGUUGAAUUACAGCAGCAGCCUACUGUACAGAAUUGGAAUCGUAUCACGAUGCUGAUGUCGUUUAUCGGAAAACUCAACUACACGGAGGAGAAAAAUACCAUCAAUAUCCUGUCGCAAAUAUGGAACUGGAUCGCAAGCACGAUCGAAAUUUUCGAAGGCAAACAGUUGGAUAUGUUAUCGGAAUUUACGUCGAAACUGUUGAGUGCUACGCAGCCUGAAAAAAUUCAAGACGAUAUUUUCUUCUCGAUCCUAGAAGCAGUUUUAGCGUCACUGUUAUGUCUCCCACCACACGUAAAGGCAAUAACGUCGUAUUACUUGAGAAACAGAAUCGAUUCCUUUGAUAACUGUGGGAUUAAAACGGUUAAUGCAUUAGCGGAGCUCAAUUGUCGACUUUUGGAAGACGAAAAUCCAUGGGUACGACAGGAAGCUUUCGAAUCGUUUGAUUAUGUAGCUCACAUGUGUCCGAACGAGGAUCUUGUGACUAAAAUGGCAGCCGCGGUUACAAGAAAGUCGUCGUUGAGAGAUUCUUUGCCUGCUUAUCUUUCCGGCACGAUUUAUUACGAGCUUCAGGAUUUUUCGGAUAUUCGAGAUUAUUUGCAACAUAUGGCGAAACAUUCGCAAAAUGUUUACCAUGUUUGUAACAAUUACGAGGAUUGUCAAAGGGACCAAAAACUCGCUAAAUUGGAAAUCGAGUCUAUCGAAAGUUUCGAUAAAAACUCGCCUUUCAAUCACUUCGAUGAACACGUAAACGAAAUAUGUGACGAAUUGAAUGAUAUUUUAAAAAAGACUGGUGACAUCGGAAAUCACGUGAUGCGAAGACUACGGUUAAUUUGCAUGAAGAUUUUGGAUCUGACUGAAUCCAAAUAAGUCUUAUUCGAAUACAUUUUGUAUAAUAAUUUGUAAUUUUUUAUGUCGUAAGGAUAAGCGCGCGAAAUGAUCGAACAAAUAAUAUAAAUACUCUUUUUAUUUUCAUUAAGAAUCCUUGAUAAUCGUGCAAAGAAUAAGAACAAUUUAAAUAAAUCUUCUUAAUAAUACCUAUAUUGUAGAAAAAUUAGGCCUAAGAUCGUUUUAUUUCUUUUAGCCCUUUGCGAACGGGGCCGCUCGACGAGCGAUCAUCGCUGUGGACGAGAGGUAUUGGCGCGCGCAGUUGAAAAAAUAUACACGUUGAACGUUUGCGUUAUUCAUUAUCGAGAUUUGUAUCAUUUUCAUCAAUAUUUAGUUCAUCAUCAUUGUCACUAUUACUAAAAAUAUUGAAACGUUUGAGCCGAUUCAUUGUUGAACGGAUUUCGUUUCUACUUUCUGAAGCACUGUCCGCCGUCUUUUAUCUUGUCAGGUUCAAAAUAAUGCUUGUCAUCGCUACUAUCACUAUCGAACAUAUUUUUUUCUGGAACUUUUAGGCAUCGUGUAUAAGGUAUUAUAAAGAAUAUGUAAAAUAUAUAAAAAGCUUACUGAUUCAUCUGGUAAUGCCAUUGAAAGAUUAAAAUUCGUUCUGACUCAACCAUCAUCUGACAUCUGAAAAUAAGAUUUCUAAAGAUCUAUAAUUUUCUUUCAUCAAAAACAUAAUACUGUUUAGUUUACUAUACCCACGCGUAAAUACGCAUAAGAUUAUCGCUUAGAAAAUAGUAACUGUCCAGAACAGAUUCGGUCGGCUAUAUGCCGUCCGCAUACACGCGUCCGCAACGGUGAAAAGACUUGGACGGCUAUUUGUCGACACUCGUUCGCAAAAGGUUAAAUUUUAUUAUAUAUUAACCACUUGCGCUACCAAUAAACUCAUGGUUGCGUAUGCCGUACGCUACAAUAUAACACGUUGAGAUAACAAAGUAACCCGUCACCGCGUCUGCGAGUGCAAUCUUUUAAGCAGCGCCUCAGUGUGUUGGUAAGGUCUUAUAUGUAGAGUUUUACACGGGUAUAAAUAAAUACUCACGGGAACGAUA